This 371-nucleotide ribosomal RNA is filed under the name uncultured bacterium. RNAcentral describes it as "bacterial SSU rRNA". It matches the Rfam family "Bacterial small subunit ribosomal RNA", at positions 527 to 896 of the family's 1533-position model. The record is from RNAcentral.
GUAGGUGGCGAGCGUUGUCCGGAUUUACUGGGCGUAAAGAGCGCGCAGGCGGCUGGUCAAGUCCGAUGUGAAAGCUCCCGGCUUAACUGGGAAAUUGCAUCGGAAACUGAUCGGCUGGAAGGUGGGAGAGGGUAGCGGAAUUCCCGGUGUAGUGGUGAAAUGCGUAGAUAUCGGGAGGAACACCAGUGGCGAAAGCGGCUACCUGGCCCAUUCUUGACGCUGAGGCGCGAAAGCUAGGGGAGCAAACGGGAUUAGAUACCCUGGUAGUCCACGCCGUAAACGAUGAGUGCUAGAUGUUUCUGGUAUUGACCCCGGAGGCGUCGUAGCUAACGCGUUAAGUACUCCGCCUGGGGAGUACGGCCGCAAGGCUA